UGAGUGCGAGCUGCUACGGCAGCGAAGUUGGUGACGUCAAGCUUCCAAGAAAAGCCCUACACCCGUUAAGGCAUCAUGGCCUGUACCCGAAACCGACACAGGUGGGGUGGUAGAGAAUACCGAGGGGCGCGAGGUAACUCUCUCUAAGGAACUCGGCAAAAUGGCCCCGUAACUUCGGGAGAAGGGGUGCCAGCGAGAGCUGGUCGCAGUGAAGAGGCCCAGGCGACUGUUUACCAAAAACACAGGUCUCCGCUAAGUCGCAAGACGAUGUAUGGGGGCUGACGCCUGCCCAGUGCCGGAAGGUUAAGGAAGCUGGUCAGCGCAAGCGAAGCUAGCGACUGAAGCCCCGGUGAACGGCGGCCGUAACAAUAACGGUCCUAAGGUAGCGAAAUUCCUUGUCGGGUAAGUUCCGACCCGCACGAAAGGCGUAACGAUCUGGGCGCUGUCUCGGAGAGAGGCUCGGCGAAAUAGAAUUGUCUGUGAAGAUGCGGACUACGUGCACCCGGACAGAAAGACCCUAUGAAGCUUUACUGUAGCUUGGUAUUGUGCUCGGGCUCGGAAUGCGCAGUAUAGGUGGGAGGCUUGGAUCCAUUGCUUGCGGGUGAUGGUGAGCCACUGGUGAGAUACCACUCUUUCCGAGCUAGAGUUCUAACCCUCGCCCGUUAUCCGGGGAGGGGACAGUAUCAGGUGGGCAGUUUGACUGGGGCGGUCGCCUCCUAAAAGGUAACGGAGGCGUGCAAAGGUUCCCUCAGGCUGGUUGGAAAUCAGCCGACGAGUGCAAAGGCAGAAGGGAGCUUGACUGUGAGACCUACAAGUCGAACAGGGACGAAAGUCGGCCUUAGUGAUCCGACGGUUCUGCGUGGAAGGGCCGUCGCUCAACGGAUAAAAGUUACUCUAGGAUAACAGGCUGAUCUCCCCCAAGAGUUCACAUCGACGGGGAGGUUUGGCACCUCGAUGUCGGCUCAUCGCAACCUGGGGCUGAAGUCGGUCCCAAGGGUUGGGCUGUUCGCCCAUUAAAGCGGUACGCGAGCUGGGUUCAGAACGUCGUGAGACAGUUCGGUCCAUAUCCGGUGCACGCGCAGGAAUAUUGAGAGGAUUUCUCCCUAGUACGAGAGGACCGGGAGGAACGCACCUCUGGUGUGCCAGUUAUCGUGCCAACGGUAAACGCUGGGUAGCCAUGUGCGGAGAGGAUAACCGCUGAAAGCAUCUAAGUGGGAAGCCCACCUCAAGAUGAGUAUUCCCAUGGCAAAAGCCAGUAAGGUCACGGGAAGAUUACCCGUUGAUAGGCUCUACGUGGAAGCGCAGCAAUGCGUGAAGCGGA
RNAcentral lists this ribosomal RNA (1321 nucleotides) under metagenome. RNAcentral's name for it is "bacterial LSU rRNA". It matches the Rfam family "Bacterial large subunit ribosomal RNA", at positions 1564 to 2894 of the family's 2925-position model. The record is from RNAcentral.